AUUGAACGCUGGCGGCAGGCCUAACACAUGCAAGUCGAGCGGUAGCACAGAGAGCUUGCUCUCGGGUGACGAGCGGCGGACGGGUGAGUAAUGUCUGGGAAACUGCCUGAUGGAGGGGGAUAACUACUGGAAACGGUAGCUAAUACCGCAUAACGUCGCAAGACCAAAGUGGGGGACCUUCGGGCCUCAUGCCAUAAGAUGUGCCCAUAUGGGAUUAGCUAGUAGGUGGGGUAACGGCUGACCUAGGCGACGAUCCCUAGCUGGUCUGAGAGGAUGACCCGCCACACUGGAACUGAGACACGGUCCAGACUCCUACGGGAGGCAGCAGUGGGGAAUAUUGCACAAUGGGCGCAAGCCUGAUGCAGCCAUGCCGCGUGUGUGAAGAAGGCCUUCGGGUUGUAAAGCACUUUCAGCGGGGAGGAAGGCGGUGAGGUUAAUAACCUCAUCGAUUGACGUUACCCGCAGAAGAAGCACCGGCUAACUCCGUGCCAGCCGCCGCGGUAA
This 504-nucleotide ribosomal RNA is filed under the name uncultured bacterium. Its description in RNAcentral is "partial 16S ribosomal RNA". It matches the Rfam family "Bacterial small subunit ribosomal RNA", at positions 30 to 523 of the family's 1533-position model. The record is from RNAcentral.